Molecule: ribosomal RNA, 317 nt
Filed under: uncultured Planctomycetota bacterium
Lineage: Bacteria; Pseudomonadati; Planctomycetota
Description: bacterial SSU rRNA
Rfam family: Bacterial small subunit ribosomal RNA
Source: RNAcentral
AAUGAACGUUGGCGGCGUGGAUUAGGCAUGCAAGUCGAGCGAGAUAGGUUUGGUGCUUGCAUUGAACCUUGAAAGCGGCGAAAGGGAGAGUAACGCGUAGGGCACCUACCCUCAGGCCUGGGAUAGCGGCGGGAAACUGCCGGUAAUACCGGAUAAUGUCUCCGGACCAAAGGUGUGAUUCCGUCUGAGGAUGGUCCUGCGUCCUAUUAGUUAGUUGGUGAGGUAACGGCUCACCAAGACCGUGAUGGGUAGCGGGCGUGAGAGCGUGGCCCGUCUCACUGGGACUGAGACACUGCCCAGACACCUACGGGUGGCAG